Gavialis gangeticus (Gharial) is the source of this 481-nucleotide long non-coding RNA. RefSeq lists it as uncharacterized. The record is from RefSeq and is a predicted model, not a curated record. Lineage: Eukaryota; Metazoa; Chordata; Crocodylia; Gavialidae. The transcript is spliced from 4 exons.
UGCUUCUGUUGAUGACUCUGCUAGUGCUAUGAGAAGCUCAUUCCUGUUUUCCAGUUCUAGGGGAGGAGUAACCCUGGCACAUGCCUUGGGGCCAUAGACAACUAUCUCCCAGGCAACUCCAAGAUGGGACUCCAGGCAUGACAGUGAAAAAUCGGUUGGGAUACUUUUCCAUUCGCCUGAACAGAAAGGCAAAUACCAUGUGACUAGGAGUGACCAGUCAGACAGCUUGAAUAUUAAAUACUGAAGACUUACAGUAGCCUUUCAGCAGAAUAUGUGUCAAAAGCUUUUCAGACAAGAAUAAUGAAUACUAUUAAAAAGAUACCUUAUAAGGAUAGUCUAAGCAUGGCUUCUGGUCUUGCUCAGGCUAGGACUGAAGGAAAUCUGGGGAUAUGUAAGUGGACUACAACUACAGGAAAGUAAUCCAUUGUAUGGCAGCAAUAAGAGUAGCCAGUUUGUCUCACAGCUAAUGUAGGCAUUAUUC